UGGGGAAUAUUGCACAAUGGGGGAAACCCUGAUGCAGCAACGCCGCGUGAGUGAUGACGGUCUUCGGAUUGUAAAGCUCUGUCUUUGGGGACGAUAAUGACGGUACCCAAGGAGGAAGCCACGGCUAACUACGUGCCAGCAGCCGCGGUAAUACGUAGGUGGCGAGCGUUGUCCGGAUUUACUGGGCGUAAAGGGAGCGUAGGCGGAUUCUUAAGUGGGAUGUGAAAUACCCGGGCUUAACCUGGGUGCUGCAUUCCAAACUGGGAAUCUAGAGUGCAGGAGGGGAGAGUGGAAUUCCUAGUGUAGCGGUGAAAUGCGUAGAGAUUAGGAAGAACACCAGUGGCGAAGGCGACUCUCUGGACUGUAACUGACGCUGAGGCUCGAAAGCGUGGGGAGCAAACAGG
Molecule: ribosomal RNA, 404 nt
Filed under: uncultured Clostridium sp.
Lineage: Bacteria; Bacillati; Bacillota; Clostridia; Eubacteriales; Clostridiaceae
Also listed under: 1 other name
Description: bacterial SSU rRNA
Rfam family: Bacterial small subunit ribosomal RNA
Source: RNAcentral